This 8396-nucleotide long non-coding RNA is filed under the name Fragaria vesca (wild strawberry). Its description in RNAcentral is "long non-coding RNA (FVES_LNC005466)". The record is from RNAcentral. Lineage: Eukaryota; Viridiplantae; Streptophyta; Magnoliopsida; Rosales; Rosaceae.
AAAAUUUUGUUCUUCUAAAAAAGUAUUUUGUGUAUCCACUUGUCUAUCUGAAUUUCUUCUAAGCUAGCUAGCUGUCAACCGGCGUGUUGAUAAUUCCAUGUUUGUUGAGUGAAUCGAUUUGUAAUUUAUAAUAUUUGAAGCUCCACGAUUGCUUUUAAUAUAUUAACAUUGUGACUCCAUGAUGUAUUUUAACAGUCUACUGAUCAGCCCGAACCUAAGAUUUUCAGACUAGAGUCUAACUCCAAAUGUUGGGCCCUCAUGUGUAUAGCGAUUUAGGUUUUUGUUUUUGUUUUUAUUUUCACGAGUUAAAGCAGUAGACGGUAGCAGUAGGAUGGCUACCUGGCCUAUAGACCAUUCAAGAGCCCGUAACAAAUAUGCUCCCAAUCUGGGGUAAAGCAAGACUAGGACACCAAACGAAUGCCUGUGUAAACUAUUAAGGGAUGACAUUUGUCCUGCAUUGAUCGGUAAGAGAAGAGAGAGUCAACACAAGGUUAUAAAUGAAGUCUGAUAGUCAAUGUAACAAGUAACAUUAAUUACGUCAGUAAUUACACUUUACCUACCAAAUAUUAAGUUUAGAAUUAAAUUCAGUUUACCCCCAUGAGGUUUGGGAGUAACUUCAUGUUAAUCCCUAUACUUUCAAUUUCAUCAAUUUACCCCUCAAACUUUUGAAUUUUCCUCAAACGUGACCAAUGUCCUAUAUUCUGUCCAAAUCAGACGUUAACUGCUGAUAAUUUUAACCUUAACUGUGAGGCCCGUAUUUAGAAUUUGGGCAAAUUGGAUAUUAUCUGUCCAAAUCGAACAUUAACUGCUGAUAAUUAACGGUCAAUUCAAACGGAAUAUGAGAAUUUAGGCACGGCAGAUAGAAAUUGAAGAGUUCAAGGGGUAAACUGAUGAAAAUAAAAGUGUAGGGACUAACAUGAAGUCACCCCCAAACCACAAAGGGGUAAACUGAAUUUAAUUCUUAAGUUUACCAUCGGAGGGAGUAAGACCAGAAAGUCUAGGUCAUUUUCUUAUCACAGGUUGCAUGUAUCAUUUAAAGAAGAUCAUCCAAGACACGUGACGAGCUUUUGUUGACCAUACGGGAUCCUACAAAAACAUUUGACGUCAUCUGUGGGAAAACCCGGUGAGUGUCUUGAUGGCUAAGCAAAUCGAGCAGCGGGCGAGUGACGAGCCCGACUUGGGAGAUUUACAUCAUACAAUAUUUAAGGAAUCCGCGGUCACAACUAUAGGAGGUUCAAGAAUCAUUCAGGAUCGUCAACGUAAAGCGGAGAAUCAGCAUGAAAAGUCUUCGGCGACAACCAAAAGUUGUCACUAAAAGUCUAUAUUUCUCACUUAAUUGAAAGUGCGACGACUUUGGGUUGUCGCAACCGAUUGUCGUUUAAAGUGUUUAAACGAUUGUCAAAAGCGAAAAAACUACACAGUUGUCCAGGUUGAGGUCCCCCAUUACCACUUUCGAACUCUGUAGAAAAGGCAGGUCCCUUUUCAAGGGCUAUCAUGCAAGUUGUGCGAUCUAACGCGGUCAAGCCAUUAAAACUAAGCUAUAAUGGAGAAGAGGAUCCGCACCAGCUUCUAGAUAGCUUCAAAUCUCAAAUAAACACUAAAGGAUACACAUAUGUGUUAUGUUGCGACAUGUUGCAAGAAAUGCUCAUCGGGGAAACUGUCAACUAGUUCUACAAGCUCCAUGCUAAUUCGGUGCAGUAUUUCCAACAGUUAGCCAACAGAUUUCUAAAUCGCUUCAUCCUGCAUAAGGACGGUCAAAACACGACAUAAUUGCUCGAGGUCAGGCAAGAGACAGGUGAGGAACUGAAAAUUUUUGUGAACCGCUGGUAAGAUAACAUCACAAAAGUCAGAAACUUCAACAAGAUGUUGCAAAAGAGGCUUUCAAGCAAGCAUUGAAGCCCGGGAAACCCAUAAGGGUAUGACUAACUUAUGGAGAUAGGCAAUCAAGCAUUCCCAGGAAGACCAUGACACAUACGACAACAAAUUCAUGAAAAAGAUCAAGGUCAACGACAGUAGAGCAAUGUCCCCAGGACAUACAUCGCAAGUGGGGAAGAGUUGGAAGGGUGACCGGGAGCAGCAUGUGUUUUCUCCAAGAAAAAGGUUCAAAGAUGGGAACACAAAGAAACAAGGAAAAAAUCAAUACGACGGCCACGAAACUCGUUCCGGCAACCAGGGAGCAGUGAUAGAUUCCUAUUUCAUACACUUUUAUACUCUUAAAAGUUGGAUUAUAUGCUUAGUUCUUGUCAAUCGUGAAUAUUUACUUGGUUUUUGUGUUUUAUAGGUCAAGUUGGAGAAAAUGAGAAUUUGGAGCUAAAAGUCAAACUGAGGAUUGCAAAGGUGCUUUCUAUCCCGAGUGAUCUAGAAACUAACCCUGCUGUGCGUCAACUUUGAGGAUUAAGUUGUACUUUCUCACAAGGAAUUAGGAGGUGACAUACUAUUGGAAAUAUACGGAUGUUAGCUUUCUGAGGAAUUUUGCGGAAGUGGAUUUGCAUUUUUCUAGAGCAAGUUAUGAUGGUUUGAGUGAACGCAGCGCGUGAAGGCAGAUUUGGACGAAUUUUGCAUAUCUUCUCAUGAUUCCAAUUUGUGAAGCCCAAGUCCAUCAAUCUUAAUACUAUAAGGAAAAAGGCUGAACGUAUCUACAUAUUUAGAAGGUUAUUAUUGCAUUGACGAUAAUAACCUUAUGUUAUUUGGAGAGAAUAAAACAAUUCCGUGUUGGACAAGGAGAGACCAAAAAAGCCCAAAUCGAUCAAUUGGUAUUUCAAGGGAAGUAAAAGGAAAACCCUAAGCACAUGAAAUAGAAAGGGGAUGCAGCAAUGUCACGCCUAAAUUUUUGAAAAAUUUUUGAAGGAUAAUUUUCAAAAAUUUUGGCAUGAUAAUAUUAAAAUAAUAUAAUCUCAAAACCUGUUUCAAACAAAUUUCAUGGAAAACUAAACUCGAUGCGGAAUGUAAAUGUUACUCAACUCAACGCUGAGUUAAAUAUUACAUUUCCUUGUUUACAUAAACUUGAAAGUUAAGAAAAUGAAACGCUCACAUGAGUUUAAUGUUGUCUACCCCAAACAUAAAAAUAUACAAUAUACAACAAAACCCAACAAAAAAACUCUAUCACUAAGCCUCCGCUUCAACCCUGUUAAUCCUCACCUGCAGGUCUAACCCCUACACCAAGAAUUGGUGCACCGGGUUGUAAACAAUAAACCCGGUAAGUUAAAAAGCUCGAAUGAGUAAUUCUCAAAAUAACACUAAAUCUCCGAUUACCAAUUAAAUCACAUGAGCAAUUUAUAUCAAUAAAUAAAAUCCACAAAUCCAACACUUUUUCAAUUAACAUGUACCAAUGAGUCCCAGGUAUUAAUAAAUACCCCUCAUGACCUACAACAACAAAAUGUGUACCUAUGGGUCCCAGAUACCAUACAGUAUCUCCCAUGACCUAUAUUGAUAGACGGACUAGAACUCUAUUCCUAACCGCAACCAAUCACCCGGCCAAAGGCUUGGAACCCGGUUUGACUGUCUAAUAUCAAACACAAAAGUGAUAAAUAGCAUCUUAACCGCAACCAAUCACCCAAUUAAAGGCUUGAAACCCGGUUUGGCUAUUUAUCCAACAAUCAUAAUAUCACAACAUUAUUCUCAACAACACAAUAUCACAUCAUAAAUUAUAUCUUUCCACAUGGAUAUAUUUACAUGAACAAAAUAUAGAUAUUCCACAAGAAUAAUCUAUCAAUAAUCAAUAAAAUUAUGAUCACAUGAAUCUCAAAAUAGCAUUUAAAGAAAACUUGUUUUAUCUUACCUAUGAGUCGUUGACGAUCAAGCUCAUAUAUUUAAAAAAAAACCAUUAAAAACAUAUUAUCACAAUACCCUUAAACUAAUUAACCCUUAGUUCAAGGGAGGACAACUUUCCAAAGUCGUUGAACUUAGAGGCCGAAAAUGGCUGCCUCUAAUCCUCUAAUCCUUAAAUCCUUACUCAACCUCCACUAAGCCUAAUAUCACACCCAAAGUUCUAACACGCAAACCUUGCUCACAACCUAGGAAUUCUACAUCUUAACAAGCUCACAACAACAAGAGCUAGCUAAAACACAGCAACCUAAGCCAUAAACAUAGUCGAACGCGCUGCCACGCGCCGCCACAGGCGGCGGCGAGUUGGCCCCACGCGCCAAAAACUUUCGAAUUUGAGAAAACUCUCAACAGCAAAGUUGAAGCUUGAAGCAAAGGGAACAACUUUCAUACCUGAGGCUUCAACCAAUUUUGGCCGGAACCGGCCGGAAAAUGCCACGAAACCCUAACCCGGAAUCAAACUUCAAACUUGCAAAUCCGGGCUCAAAAACCUCAAAACUUGAUUCAAUCUAUGCCUAGACACUACCAGGAGGAGGAGAGGAUCAAGACUCACCUAAGGAUGCCCCUCGUCGCCGCCGGAAACGGCGAGUCCGACCGGAGACACAGCAGCCCUCUUUCCAGCAAUAAGGCUCCGAUUCCGGCGUGCCACACCGAGCAGCAGCUGCCCAGUCUUGAAGAGAGCACUUGUGGGAGUCAAAUGGGACCAGUGGCGGUCCAAUUGGUGGCUGGACGGCGGAGCUAGCUCCGGCGGAAGUUUGGUGUGCGGGUGAGUUCGGGAGAGGAAGAGAGAGAAAAGAGAGAAGAGAGUGAACUGGGUGAGGAGAGUGAGAAGAGAGAGAGCUGAUUUGUGUUAGGGUUUCCAAAAUAACCCACACACAAUUUUCUACUUAAACACUUUCCACACCCGGAAACUAACUUCCUCUGACCAUAACUUUCUCAUACGACAUCCGUUUUAAGCGUACCGUAUGUCUACGAACUCGUAUCGACAAACUCUACAACUUUCAAGAAGGAAGUUUUCGAAAAUAACUUACGGAAAAUAAAGUCAACUUUUGGCCUCUUAAAAGUCAAAACACCUUAAAAUAAACUCCUGAAACUUCAACUUCGCAUAAACCAAAGAAUUUCCAUAAAUAAUCCUUCAUUAAUUAAGGAAAUAAUACAAGAAAAAAUGAUAUGAAAAUCUAGGGUAUUACAAGCAAUAUCGCCAAGGAGAAAGAAGAACAUAACCUCGACAUCGCUUAACCCGAGUUCCUAUCUCUUCCAUUGUGUCUUCCAUGCUAUCUUUAUUUCUAGUCAUGUUUUCUUUGGCUAUGGAUUUCUAAACUUCUAGCUAGGGCUGAGAUAAAGCCCCCAGUAUGAUUACUCUAUUUUUUUAGUUGAUUUCUUUUGAAUUCAUGGAUUUCUAUGUUAAAUUCUCAAUCACUGUUUCAAUUGAACUUUUAUUCAAAAUCUUUGCUCAGGACCAAUAAGACCUAGGUUUUGUUUAUUAGUUAUUUGGCUAGAAAACAUGAGACUUGAUCGAGAGUAGAUGUUUUCUAGGGUUUCAAAGGAUUUAUUUAAUCUUGUGAUUAGAGAGUUGUAAGUUAAGGAUACAAGUGUUUGAUCAUAGUCGAUAUUCUUGUUUACAUGAUCUCCUAGUUCUUUUGUGUUUAAUGGAGUUGAACAUGUGUCAGGACCCACCCCGGAUUUCACCCUGAAAUCCGGAAUGAACACUGCGGGGAUCAACUCCAAAGAAGAUGCUACCGGAAAUUCAGCAUAACAUCCCUUGAAAAUAGACAACUCUUCCUAAAAACACCUGCAAACACACUUAUAAAAAAAUCAUACUCCAACCUUGUACUCCUGGAGCCUUCCUGCUCCCCAAGUUCAUCACAUCUCCCAAAAUAUCAAAUACUAAUCUAAAAGAAUCUCACUUCUAACAACAAAGACAUUUAAUAAUUUAUUAACUCGAUUAUCAUAACAUAUAUAAUAAUGAAAGAAAAAUAAUGAAUAAAGAAUAAGCGGAAACAGCCUCUGACUAUGCCUCGACUCUAUGUACGCUCGACCUCAAAUAAACUUAGUCUGCAAACUGGGCAUUUGAAACCGAAGAACCCAGAGGAAAGUAAUUUAAAACGUUAGAGUGAGUGGACAAAAAUAAAUUGAAUAAUUUAACAUAAAUGUAAUUUAAAUACUUUCCCACGUUUAAACUUUAAAAACUUAGAUGCACGCAACUUUAAUCAUCCAAAAAAACUUUAAAUCCAGAGUCACGAAAGAAUGAACAAACCAGCAAUACUGAAAUUUUGUAAGAAGAGACAAACCAGCCCCGUUGGUUAAUCAAUUACAUAAAUGAGAAAAUAAAACAAGGGGAAGAAAUAUAUCACCAUGUAAGAGGAGCUUCUUAGACUCGGGUCGGAACCUCCCAGACUCUAGUAGCGUCCCACGCUAAGCGCUCGACUCACCUAUGGUGAGGACCGUUAAUAAAGGCUAGCUAGCAAUGAACAAUAACCGAUUAGUGUCUCCCAGGCUAUAAUAGCGUCUCACGCUAAGCGCUCAACUCACCUAUGAUGAGGACCGCAUGCUAGCUAGUAAUGAAUAAGAGCUAGUAUGGUGACUAAAAACAUACGAAAUCACUAUUCAUAAAGCUUCCCUAAGAUCAUGUGAAUAGUACGGUUCUCAACCGUACUUAGAAAUUAUCAUCAGAAAUUAAAAUAAAACUCAAUGACGUGUCUCACGUCAAAAUAUUCUCAAAUUUAUAAUUAUAAGCGAGAUUUCAUUAUAAAUCAUAAAUAAUAUCUCCACCUGAAAUACUCACUAAACAAUUCUCAAUGUCAAGAUCAUUAUGCGACAAAUAAACGAGAAAAUUAUGAUGGAGAACUACCAGAAGUCCCAUUUUCGGUAUUCUUUUAUAAAUCUCAAAGUCAACAAAUAAAACAAUAAGAAUUAAAUCCGGAAUUGAUAAAGAAUAUCAAAACUCAAAUACCAAAUUAAUAACCCGACCUCAAAUCCAUAAAUCAUGACAAACUCUUAAUCAAUGCAUCAAACUCAAAUAAAUUUCAAGACCAUAUCAUAAACCGAAAUUUAUAAUAUAAGCUCGGAAAAUAGAAUGAUAAUUUCCAAAAUAAACCAUGCAUGCUUAUUCAUUUAAAAACAAAGUGUCCACUCACCGUAUUAGGCAUAAGCUUUCCAUUGCUCAUGACACUCCUCGCGCGCUGCCUCCAAAUAUCCAAGUCCUUGAGUCAAUCCCACACCUGACCAUAAGCUGUAGGACAAAUCGGUCAAACCGAACUUUGAAAUAACCAUUGCCUCGUCUUCUUUCCUAGUUUGACUCGGGUUUCCUAGGUUGACCAGGAUUUACCAAUUAACGAUGUUCAACGUUUUCCAAUCCAACCUUUGACUUAACAAUUCGAUACAAUUUUCACUAUACGUCCUACUAACAGUUAGGCACUUAGGCGUCGCUUAAUAAUUCGUUUUGGUGAACCUCGAUUUUGAUUAAUCAAACUAAUGUAAUUUGAUUAACUCAAAAACAUACGAACCACCUUAAUCUGAAAAACCACCAAAUUACUAAGGGCACCCAAAAGGGUUUGCAUAACCGAAAAGUUUUCAAAAAUGGAAAGUUUCUUAAAAUAGAAACUUUCAUAACUUGGUAAUUUUUCCAAUUACAACCCGAACUUUCCUAUUUCCGAAGUGACAUAAAACAAAAACAAAACAUCGAUCACUACCUCUACCAAAAUAUUUUGCCGGAAUUUCACGAUAGUCUCCCUGUAUCUUCCAAUCUGCAAGUUAUCGACAAGCAUGUAGAAAAUUAAACGAUUUAACCACCAGUCCAACAGAAUAUCGCACUAGCCACAACACAGAAGCUUUUAAGAAACGGGAUUUACCCUCUACUUUCCAGAACGAAGAAUACGAUAAUCGAAGCUCCUCCUUACCUCAGCCAUGACCAAAUCGGAGAACCAACAGAAAAACAGGGAACCUCCCUUCGCCAGAAAACCUCUGCCUCCAACCCUUCCCAGGACGCGUCUUGGCUCCAAUCAACUAUUUCUAGACUCACCGGAUCUCGGUGGUCUCGCUAGAGCACCAAGAACAAACUCGCCGGAAAAACCUCGACAAAAACACAAAAGAGGGUUUUUUGAAUUAGUGCUCGAAUUAAGAAAACAAAGACACCAAAAGGGAGAGGAAAGAGAGGCGACCAAGAAUAUACCCAACGAAAUCGUCAUCUCCACCGAAGCUCGUUGGGAAUUGAAGAAGAAGACAACCGCACACCACCGCGAUCAACCUCCCUCUAUAAUGGAUGCAAGUUAGAUUGUUUUGGCUAGGCUAGGAAGGAGAGAAGAAAAGAAGAAGUUUAAUGGUGGUCUCGCCGUCUGGGGUGGCCGGAAGAGGCCAGUGCGUGGCGGAGGAGGAUGGCUACGACGGAGAGAGAGAGAGAGAGAGAGAGAAGAAAAAGGGAGACGGGUCAAUGCCCAUAGGGGGCUUUUGACCGAACUCAACCUCCUAUUUUCCUUUUAUGUUUAAUCCAAAGGCCAAGAUCAAAACCCUAAUUGAUCCGACGGCCCAGAUUAAUCCACAAUUUUCUAAUUUCAGAAAAAUUAAUUUCUUUUUAC